GCUAUGGUAUAUGCCUGUAAUCUCAGUUACUCAGGAGGCUGAGACAGGAAGAUUGGUUGAGCCCAGGAGUUCAGGCCCAACCUGGGCAACAUAGUGAGACCUUGUCUCUG
Molecule: small RNA, 110 nt
Filed under: Marmota monax (woodchuck)
Lineage: Eukaryota; Metazoa; Chordata; Mammalia; Rodentia; Sciuridae
Source: RNAcentral